GCGGGGCGGGGGCGCACCGGAUCCGGCCCGCGGCCGCCGCAGCCUUGCGCGUCCGCAGCACACCUGUCACGCCUGGCGCGCCCCCUGCCCGCACGCGCUCGGUCCACGCAGCUCGGGACGCGGGCGGCCCAGGCUGCCAGGUCCCCCUGCUCCGCGGCGCCGAGGGCUGGGCUGCGUCUGCGGCCGCGUGGGUGGCCGCGGUCUUGGCAGGUGGCUGCGCGCGGGGGUCGCAGACAUGCUGCUGCUGAAGAAACACACGGAGGACAUCAGCAGCGUCUACGAGAUCCGUGAGAGGCUCGGAUCGGGUGCCUUCUCCGAGGUGGUGCUGGCCCAGGAGCGGGGCUCCGCACACCUCGUGGCCCUCAAGUGCAUCCCCAAGAAGGCCCUCCGGGGCAAGGAGGCCCUGGUGGAGAAUGAGAUCGCAGUGCUCCGUAGGAUCAGUCACCCCAACAUCGUCGCUCUGGAGGAUGUCCACGAGAGCCCUUCCCACCUCUACCUGGCCAUGGAACUGUGAGGAGGGCCUGGGCAGGCUGUGGGAGCCGGGGAGGGACUGAGCAGUGAGUGGGGCUGAAGGCCAGGCUGAGUGCCUGGGUCAGCCAAACCCCUGGCACCCCCAGGGUGACGGGUGGCGAGCUGUUUGACCGCAUCAUGGAGCGCGGCUCCUACACAGAGAAGGAUGCCAGCCAUCUGGUGGGUCAGGUCCUUGGCGCCGUCUCCUACCUGCACAGCCUGGGGAUCGUGCACCGGGACCUCAAGCCCGAAAACCUCCUGUAUGCCACGCCCUUUGAGGACUCGAAGAUCAUGGUCUCUGACUUUGGACUCUCCAAAAUCCAGGCUGGCAACAUGCUAGGCACCGCCUGUGGGACCCCUGGAUAUG
RNAcentral lists this small RNA (877 nucleotides) under Pan troglodytes (chimpanzee). Its description in RNAcentral is "processed transcript". Lineage: Eukaryota; Metazoa; Chordata; Mammalia; Primates; Hominidae. The record is from RNAcentral.